Molecule: non-coding RNA, 157 nt
Filed under: Commensalibacter melissae
Lineage: Bacteria; Pseudomonadati; Pseudomonadota; Alphaproteobacteria; Acetobacterales; Acetobacteraceae
Also listed under: 5 other names
Description: 6S RNA
Rfam family: 6S / SsrS RNA
About the family: E. coli 6S RNA was the first non coding RNA to be sequenced, but its function was unknown until recently. It consists of 184 nucleotides that fold into an extended hairpin structure with a large single-stranded internal bulge.
Source: RNAcentral
CGGAGGCUGCCUGGUUCGUUAGAAAGUUCAUCUCCUGGGCCGAUAAUUUCUUCCAAGGGAGCUGGCGCUGACGUAAUCGUGGUUUCGUUAUUCUGGCACCCACCUGUAUUUGCAGGUCCGGAAGAGCUGACAGUUCGACGGCUAUGGCGGCUUCUUU